UCACACUCUGUUUCUCAUUUCCACAAGUCAAGUCAUACACAAAAGUUAUUUAGCUUUGCCCUAUAUUCUUUCACAAAAAUAACUUACAACUUUUGGUUAAAAUCCUACUUAAAAUAUAAGAGAAAUUAACAAGAAUAUCCCUUAUAUUUGAGGGUAGUUCAAAAUGGCCCCUUAAAUAUACUUUUGAACAAUUUUGGUACUCUAGUUUAAGCUAGCUAAAUGUGAGCAC
This 229-nucleotide long non-coding RNA is filed under the name Capsicum annuum. RNAcentral describes it as "long non-coding RNA (CANN_LNC005594)". The record is from RNAcentral. Lineage: Eukaryota; Viridiplantae; Streptophyta; Magnoliopsida; Solanales; Solanaceae.